GAGUUUGAUCGUGGCUCAGAUUGAACGCUGGCGGCAGGCCUAACACAUGCAAGUCGAGCGGAUGACGGGAGCUUGCUCCUUGAUUCAGCGGCGGACGGGUGAGUAAUGCCUGGGAAUCUGCCUGGUAGUGGGGGACAACGUUUCGAAAGGAACGCUAAUACCGCAUACGUCCUACGGGAGAAAGCAGGGGACCUUCGGGCCUUGCGCUAUCAGAUGAGCCUAGGUCGGAUUAGCUAGUUGGUGGGGUAAUGGCUCACCAAGGCGACGAUCCGUAACUGGUCUGAGAGGAUGAUCAGUCACACUGGAACUGAGACACGGUCCAGACUCCUACGGGAGGCAGCAGUGGGGAAUAUUGGACAAUGGGCGAAAGCCUGAUCCAGCCAUGCCGCGUGUGUGAAGAAGGCCUGG
This 408-nucleotide ribosomal RNA is filed under the name bacterium enrichment culture clone ALO1_GLFRUDD03FJ2RX. RNAcentral's name for it is "bacterial SSU rRNA". It matches the Rfam family "Bacterial small subunit ribosomal RNA", at positions 9 to 419 of the family's 1533-position model. The record is from RNAcentral.